Non-coding RNA from Vicugna pacos (alpaca), 2975 nucleotides. The record is from RefSeq and is a predicted model, not a curated record. NCBI's taxonomy places the organism in Eukaryota, Metazoa, Chordata, Mammalia, Artiodactyla, Camelidae.
UCCUUUUUUUAAGAUUCCACAUGUAAGUGACCGUGUCUGGCGUUUGUCUUUCUCUCUCGGGCCACUUCACUCAAGCCAUGUGGAUGCUUCCCUGCCAUUUCCAACCCAUGGCCAGCACGUCCCUCACACGCCUGCUGGGGAAACUGAAGAGGUGCUUUUCAAAAAGUGCUUUGGGACCUUUACAUGAAAGGAAGCUCGUAAGUCAAGUGAUGUGUUCCUCUAUUUUCAAAUAGAAGAGAUUAGUCUACCCGAUGCUUUUUUUCCCUUUGAAAUUGCCCACUGAGCAGGGAGUGGACCCGAGUGAGUGAUGGCUUCCGUGUCGCGAGUGUUGACCAAUGCCGGCAGGAGGAAGCUGUCUUUGCUCAGCACACCCGGUGUGACAUUUGGUGCAAGAGCGCCUUCAAGAAACAAAUGUGUGCUCAUUUCACCUUACAAUUGUUUAUUUAUAACCAAUGAAUACGGUGCUUUACAGAAAUAAUGUCAGUGUGGAAACGUGUCUACUCUGAGACGCGCUACCAGGGAAGCUGCUGUUUUAAUCUAUUGGUUGGUAACUGGAAGUGGAGUGAACACGCGACAGAGAAGGAACUUUUUAUCAUCGUAUACUGAGCUGGAGGAGUCUUUGCGGAUCAUCUGAUCCAACCUCCAAGUUUCACAGGAGGAAUAUUGGGGAACAGCAUUUUUCAGCAAGAUCACGAGACAUCGCGGCCAGCAUCGCAGUCUCCACUUGCGCCUCAGCGCCGCUCGGCGCUGACAGUCAGUGGUUUCGGGGUCUCACCUUCAGACCAGACAGGCACUAGCAUGCACUGCUCAGGAAGACACUUCUUCCCCACGUAAGACAGGACCACAGAUACCACCGAAAGAGUCCUUGAAUUACUCCGGAGCCCCAGCACACAGAGGUAGGAUCAGGAGACACUGUCUGCGGCACCUGCGGGGCUGGAGGAAGCCCCACACCUGAGAUUACCUGGACGCAGCAAGUGAAGACCGCGUGGGCGUGCGUUGUAAUUUUUCUUCACAUUCCAGUAACACAUUCGUUCUUGCACAAAAUUUCAUUGAUUUUCUUCUGCCACAUGUAUAAUCAGCUCUGAUUUUUUCUGGGUUUCUUCAUAUAAUAUUCUAAAAGAUAUUGUAGAUAGCUUGUGUCCUUUUUGUGUAUAAUUUGGAUUCCUAAUUGUAGCCAGAAACUCAGACAUGUUUGUAAAAUGUGUUUUUAAUUCUUGCAGAAAACUAAUACAUGUAGGUUAAAAAUAGCUUGCAGGAAGGUGAUUAUGCAUACUAUUAAAUCUGGCAUCUGGCCCAGGAGAAAGACUUCAGUUGAAAGAAGACUUCAAUUUAUUUCCAUCUGGAAGGCGUUCAAGAGUACUUGAGAAACAGAAAUCACUGCUUGUAAUGUCUUAAGACUGCUUGCUCUGCCUUGUGACAGCGUCAACUCAGGCGUCACGUGUUCAAGGUUGCGAAGGCACUGACUAGGGUUUAGAAGGGGGCAAAUCAAGAAUCAUCUUGCUGAUGGAAAGAAUGAGAUAAAGGUUUUUAAAUACAGUGACUGAAGAAACUCAGAUCAUUAGGAAGGAAACCGAGAAACUGAAAAGGAAGAAGUAAAAUGAACGGGUUUAAACCGUAGAUGGAAAUGUCUGUGAAAACAUUGACCACAUCACAUAGAAGGUUACAAAUGAAAGAAGAGUUUACUCCGAGAAAUGUUUAACAUCCGCAAGUCUUAACCGUUUGUUGUUGAGUGUUUUUUAUGGAAAGACAAUACAUAUACAGAAAGAGCAUGAAACAUAAAUGUAAUAUAGCAAAUGCUCGGAACGAACAUCUGUUUAACACGGACCAGGCUGAGAAACACCGUCCCUUCAUCAGAAGCUAGCCAGGUGUCCCUUAACACCAGCCUUCACUCCUCCCUUGGAAAUGACCUCUGUCCUGACUUUAGAGUCCUUGGAGGAGUUGAAAGCUGGUCAGACGCAAGCAAAAGCAGAAUGAGAGAAUUGGCAGGUGGGUCUGUUGGAGCAAAGUCGCUGGAGUAAAUUCAAGUUUCCGAGCGACGGGGAGUUCUGGAGGCGACAGUGCGAAGGUCCGGGGCGUGUCCAGGAGCUGUUCCAGAAAGGGCAGAAAUAAAUUAGAAGCCAACCGUUUGUCGGUGUAAUUCUGGAGAUUCUUUUAAGCUUCUUGGCAGGAAAAUAAAGUGAUUUCCAGUACCUAGAAAUAACCAUAAAAAAUAAUUUUGUAGUGAAUAAUUGACUAAAUUCAAAGAGGAGGGAACGCAUUCCAGCUGGAGAAAGGAUGAGUUGAGGGCACAGAUGGACAUCCAUGGGGACAAUUCGGGAGAGAGGGUGGCCAUGUCUGGCAGAAUAGAGGCCGUGCCUAUGAGAGUGACAGAAAGGCGCAGAGUGGCUGCAGGGCUCCUGACUCGGGCUUCUAGUUCAUAAUCUCCCCACUAGACGGUGUUGAUCAAGAUAGUGACGUGAUGGAGGAGAGUUCUAAACUAGCCAUACUUUCCCUAGUGCUGAGGUUCUAGGCCAUGGAGACUUUGGUCCUUUUAGAGCAGUUGGAACCGUGGUGAAUAUGAUGAUGAUGGUUAUGGUGGACGGCAGGCGAGUCUCACAGCUGUGCUCUGACUGACACUUAAACAUGCCUUCGUAGGUGGAGGGUAUUUGCAGUUUGUGGGCACGGAUGGUAAUUUAUUUCUCUUUAUGUUUCUGGUACGUAGGCCCCGUGCCUGGUGCCUAGAAAGCACUCAAUAAACGCUUGUUGCAAUGAGUUGCCUUAUUUCAUAAGGCUAUCGAUCCUUCUCCAUUAAACCAAAUGUGUUUGUUGGCCUAUUUUCAAGGAAAAGAGCUAAUAAGUAAAUUCUACUUAUGCAAAACUUAGUGUUUUUACAUAAGAUUGCUGCUUGGUUUGCAUGAGGCUGACAGUGAAAGGAGUACUUUGAACCAUGGAGACUUGCUUUGAAUUUUUGAAGGAACAUCAUGGUAAUGAGGAAG